Long non-coding RNA from Bradysia coprophila, 480 nucleotides. RefSeq lists it as uncharacterized. NCBI's taxonomy places the organism in Eukaryota, Metazoa, Arthropoda, Insecta, Diptera, Sciaridae. The record is from RefSeq and is a predicted model, not a curated record.
GUCAAACUGGUGAAUAAUUUUAUUCAGUCUACACUUCUCGCUUGAUCAGACGUACUUAUCAAUUUUGAAUAUCUUCGUUUCAUAGUAUGAUGAGCAUAACGUUUUUUCUACUUUUAUCUUUGGUUCUAAUCGUUAAAGCUGAUGAGGUUUUGAGUGGCACACCUCCAAGUCCAGAAACAUGUAAACUACGGGGCGAAAUAUAUCGAAUAGGACAAAUUUGUGAAAGUAUUCCGUCAUGCCAGUAUCCGAAUGGACCGGAAAAUAUUUGCAUGGCAAUAGGAUGGAUUGGAAAGUGUUACUGUCGCCAUGGACAUCUACGAAACAAAAAUGGAAUUUGUGUACCGAGAAACAGAUGCUAGGUUCAAGAGUUCAAGAUAAGCUCAAUUUGUUAAUGUGACUUUAGAUGUGGAAAUAGUCAAAUAUAACAAAUACAAUUGACUUUGGCACAAUUAAAAAUUGAUUGUGUUUUAAACUCAAAAA